CUUUCUGUUCGCACCAUCAUAAACAUGCCUGACUUCAUCACAUCUCAGAAGUUAAGUAGGGUUAGGCCUGGUUAAUACUGGAAUGA
This 86-nucleotide ribosomal RNA is filed under the name Nannospalax galili (Upper Galilee mountains blind mole rat). The record is from RNAcentral. Lineage: Eukaryota; Metazoa; Chordata; Mammalia; Rodentia; Spalacidae.